This 169-nucleotide ribosomal RNA is filed under the name uncultured bacterium. Its description in RNAcentral is "partial 16S ribosomal RNA". It matches the Rfam family "Bacterial small subunit ribosomal RNA", at positions 338 to 498 of the family's 1533-position model. The record is from RNAcentral.
CCUACGGGAGGCAGCAGUGGGGAAUAUUGGACAAUGGGCGCAAGCCUGAUCCAGCCAUGCCGCGUGUGUCGCUGAAGGCCUUCGGGUUGUAAAGCACUUUUGUCCGGAAAGAAAUCCUGUCAACUAAUACGUGGCGGGGAUGACGGUACCGGAAGAAUAAGCACCGGAU